Molecule: unclassified non-coding RNA, 23 nt
Filed under: Mus musculus (house mouse)
Lineage: Eukaryota; Metazoa; Chordata; Mammalia; Rodentia; Muridae
Description: oocyte_clustered_small_RNA4197
Source: RNAcentral
UCAAGGCAGCAGGGGCAUAUCUC